Molecule: ribosomal RNA, 484 nt
Filed under: uncultured bacterium
Lineage: Bacteria
Description: partial 16S ribosomal RNA
Rfam family: Bacterial small subunit ribosomal RNA
Source: RNAcentral
AUUGAACGCUGGCGGCAUGCUUUACACAUGCAAGUCGAACGGCAGCGCGGGCUUUGGCCUGGCGGCGAGUGGCGAACGGGUGAGUAAUACAUCGGAACGUGCCCAGUAGUGGGGGAUAGCUCGGCGAAAGCCGGAUUAAUACCGCAUACGACCUGAGGGUGAAAGCGGGGGAUCUUCGGACCUCGCGCUCUUGGAGCGGCCGAUGGCAGAUUAGCUAGUUGGUGGGGUAAAGGCCUACCAAGGCGACGAUCUGUAGCUGGUCUGAGAGGACGACCAGCCACACUGGGACUGAGACGCGGCCCAGACUCCUACGGGAGGCAGCAGUGGGGAAUUUUGGACAAUGGGCGAAAGCCUGAUCCAGCAAUGCCGCGUGUGUGAUGAAGGCCUUCGGGUUGUAAAGCACUUUUGGCGGGAACGAAAAGGACUGUGCCAAUACCACGGUUCGAUGACGGUACCCGCAGAAUAAGCACCGGCUAACUACGUG